Molecule: non-coding RNA, 107 nt
Organism: Populus trichocarpa (black cottonwood)
Lineage: Eukaryota; Viridiplantae; Streptophyta; Magnoliopsida; Malpighiales; Salicaceae
Source: Rfam
UAAUCUAUUAGGAUAAAUCCUCAUUUAGUUAAGACAAACUCACACCUGACUGCUCAUAAUCACCCACUACUAUGUGAACAAUUACUUUUUGAGAUUUUAAUUAGAGU